GUUAGGGUUAGGAUUCAUGUGUCAUAACAGUGUCAUGUCACUCUUAUAUCGAUACUGUCAAGUAAAGUGUUACCUACUAACCUACUACUCAAUACUCAGCGUUAACCUUGCUGGGGUGUCAGAAAGAGUCAAAGCAUUUUACAGAUUUCAAAUGUCCAAAAGGCAAAGUGGAGGAGAUCAAUAAAAAGCACAUUAGGUGCUUCCUGGGGAAGGCCUGCCCAUACUUCAGCCAUUCUGUGCCCAGGAGUGCCGCUGGCCCCUAAGCGCUGGGCUGGUAGCCAUUAGGGCUCUAAACACAGACAAAAAUAACCAAACCAGGGACAACAAGCAGCAUGAAACACACAGGCUGAUCUGCGUGGAGUG
Long non-coding RNA from Alosa sapidissima (American shad), 363 nucleotides. RefSeq lists it as uncharacterized. Lineage: Eukaryota; Metazoa; Chordata; Actinopteri; Clupeiformes; Clupeidae. The transcript is spliced from 3 exons. The record is from RefSeq and is a predicted model, not a curated record.